GACGAACGCUGGCGGCGUGCUUAACACAUGCAAGUCGAACGGAAAGGCCCUGCUUUUGUGGGGUGCUCGAGUGGCGAACGGGUGCGUAACACGUGAGCAACCUGCCCUUGACUUUGGGAUAACUUCAGGAAACUGGGGCUAAUACCGGAUAGGAGCUCCUGCUGCAUGGUGGGGGUUGGAAAGUUUCGGCGGUUGGGGAUGGACUCGCGGCUUAUCAGCUUGUUGGUGGGGUAGUGGCUUACCAAGGCUUUGACGGGUAGCCGGCCUGAGAGGGUGACCGGCCACAUUGGGACUGAGAUACGGCCCAGACUCCUACGGGAGGCAGCAGUGGGGAAUAUUGCACAAUGGGCGGAAGCCUGAUGCAGCAACGCCGCGUGCGGGAUGACGGCCUUCGGGUUGUAAACCGCUUUCGCCUGUGACGAAGCGUGAGUGACGGUAAUGGGUAAAGAAGCACCGGCUAACUACGUG
RNAcentral lists this ribosomal RNA (468 nucleotides) under uncultured bacterium. Its description in RNAcentral is "partial 16S ribosomal RNA". It matches the Rfam family "Bacterial small subunit ribosomal RNA", at positions 28 to 507 of the family's 1533-position model. The record is from RNAcentral.